Cucumis sativus (cucumber) is the source of this 74-nucleotide non-coding RNA. The record is from Rfam. NCBI's taxonomy places the organism in Eukaryota, Viridiplantae, Streptophyta, Magnoliopsida, Cucurbitales, Cucurbitaceae.
ACGCUCUUAGUUCAGUUCGGUAGAACGCGGGUCUCCAAAACCCGAUGUCGUAGGUUCAAAUCCUAUAGAGCGUG